CUUGACUAUAAUGUCUGCAUCUCCAUGGACACUGAAGAAGAGACGUGUUAGUUAACUCUCUCUCUCUCUCUCUCUCUCUCUCUCUCUCUCUCUCUGCAAUAGAGGAGAGGAAUGCUCAUGUGCAGAAGGCUGAGUUCAAGGACUGGAAAGAGAGAAAUCACUGUCUGAACGUUUAAGGAAGAAGCUGUAAUCUUCAACUAAGAAAAACUAAGCCCAUGCUUGGAUAAGCAAGUGAAUGUAAAUAUUUUUCAUAUAUUCCUCUUUCUGCAAGUAACAGCUUUUGAAUAUUUUCACAGGUGUUCAGACAUUGUUUUAAUUUCAAGAAAAGAGUUAGUAUUGUAAGUGAUUUGGCUUCCUAGCUGCAAUUUAGCUACUCUUCUGGCAGUCCUGUGAUCUGACCCCUACAACAUAGGAUGGCUGCCUUAUCUUGAGUCUUUUCUCCAUCCAGUCCAGGGCUGACUACUCUUGCAGUGGUUGGGGGCUUUCCAGCCCUGAGAUCUCUUUCUGUAGAGAUGCCAACAACUGAAGCUUGAACUUUCUGUAUGCAAACCAUAUGUGCUACCAAUAGGCUUUGCUCUUAUUCCCCUUCCAAAGACCCAGUGGUGGCUGUGCAUUGUCACCUAUUCAAAUUUGGUGAGUAGAUGCAUUGUCUUGCUUUUAGUAGAUUACCUAGUUCAGUGCUUUACAUGCUGUGUUCCUGGGAAUUUUAGGGUUCCUGGAAAAAUUAUAAGGGAUCUGUCCAUAAAAAUAUCAGUAAUAGUAAACAAGAUCUUGGGACGGUUACGGCUCAUCCACAAUUCCCUUUGCCCCACAAUUUUGCCUCCACUUUCCCUGGGAAAACCUGCUGUUUACUGCUGAAUCAAAACAAACAAACAUCCACAGAAAACCUGACUGGUGUUUAUUCCAGUUCCAAUUCAGCAGUAGACGGAGGGCUUUCCUGAGGAGAGUCGUGGAACAGAAGAGAAUCCUUUUAGGCCACUGCAUAGAAAGCUCAAGAUCAAUGUCUGAGCCCUGAGUUCCUGUGCAGCAACAGGCCUCCUGCUUGACACUGCCUGUGAACUUAGUGUGUGUGCAAAUGCUCAAGGGAGUAAGGUUGAUAAGCACUGCAACAACAAAUGAUGGAUGUAAAUAUUGCAGUAUUGCAACAGACAUAUUUGGGUUCUUUAGCAAUAAUAAGUUUCUCUCAAUUAAUUCAUAUAAAAUAUGUGUUUGGCAAAUAAACUUAAAAGCACUGGCCUAUUUAAAAUGCACAUUUUAAUCUGUUGUUGAUAAAUGCAUUCCUUGCUCUAAUAGUGAAACUGAUUAAUAACUUCAAGCUUAAUUUUAGAAUAUACUAUUUGUCAUCUGGAUAUAGUUAAUGGCAUUAUGAACACUGCUAAAGCUAUUGACUCUAAAGCAAGAUGUAAAGGGAUGAAAAUAUUUGCUUGUCUACUAAAGCCGUCUAACACUCAGCUUUUAUCAUCAUGCCCUAUUACAGGCCCCAGAGUUUAAUGUAUUGUGAACUGGCUUUGUGCAAGGUCAAGUACCCCGAAUUACAGAAGCCAUCCUGGCUUCCGAAUUGAUCCUAGAAUGUCCCAUUUUCCUUUCUCCUCCCCUCCAUAUCGCAGAGAACAAUGAAAAGUGGUGUAGAGAUCAGACCCCCACCUCCUCUCCUUUUUGGAAACAGGAGCUUUUGUCAUGAUUAAACAAUUUAAAUGGAGAGAGAGGGAGAGAUUUUCAAUUAAAUACUGCAGACUAAGGUGGAAACAGAAUGGAAUUGUGGGUAAAAUAUUUGAAAGUGACAGACCAGAAAUAGAUUUGUCCUCCUUAGUCCUCCCAUCCAAGUACCACCUGUUUCUUACCUAUAGAGUUUAAGACCCAGUUAUCAAAAGGGGGCUGCCUGUUCCCCAAUAAACCUGCCCCUGCAGUUAAGAGUGUCCUGGGAGGCCUGUGUCAAGGGGACCCCGCUUGACCCCCAGAGUCAAGGGAGGGGGCCGCCCAAAGGAGGGCCUCUUCUCUGCUUGCACACCAUUUCUGGAAGGGAUUUUACCUGGGCACCUACUUCGUUUAUCUUUAUAUGUGGUGUCAAAUUUGCACAAGCUUUCCAUUGAGCAUUGGAAUUUUCUUUUUGUUUCUGAAGAACGUGUGAUUGUGUUGUUUCUGCUUAUUGUGUUAUUGUGUAUUGAAUUUUUUUAAAAUGAUAUUUAUUGAGAAUUUUAAAGUUACAAAGAAAAAAAGAAGGAAAAAACAAGAAAAAGAGAAAAAGAAAGAAAAAAGUAGAUAAAAGUAACAAUUAAACAAUACAAAUCAAUAAAAACCAAAAUCAAAAAGAAAAAGCAUAACACACAAUGCAUCACAAUCAAAAAGCAAAAAUAAACAAAAAAUUUAAAAACAAAUCCAAUAUUCCCAAAUCCUUAACUUUCAUUAACUUAUUUCAUCGACCUCCUCACACCUCCCAUUUUUGUAUUCUAGUUGUUCAUUAUCUCAGCAAAUCCUUUCCAUCUUUCACAAUAUUCUGUCAUUAAAUUACCUUAAUCUAUUUUAACCUUAUCUUACCAUAAAAAACCCUAAAACUUAAAACUUAAAUCUUAUUUAUACUGAAUUCUUUUAACCAUAACAUAUUCUUACAUAAUUCUUUUUAACAUUACUGCUAAAGCCAAAUACUUUCAUUCCAACAUUUUUCUAAUACUCAUUAAUUUUACGAUACUUUUCUAAAUAAAUUUUUAAAACUUUCUUCCAAUCUUCAUCCAUUGUCUCUUCCUGGUCUCGGGUUUUGUCAGUCCUUUCUAUCCCAUCCAUCUAGUCCAUCAACCUGGUGACCUUAUAUCCGAGGCUCUUAAGUCUUUUCCAUGUCCCUUCCGCAGGUCUUCUUCAUGUUUAUACCUGUACUUUACUUUGUCUUCUGCUCCUUUCACUCGGGGAGACUCCAGCUUGACAAUAUUUUUGUCCCUUCUCAACAAGUCAGCCCCUUUUCCAUAGUCAACACUGAAAUCCAUGUGGUAUUUAAAGGCAUGUUUCAAGGUCCCUCCAAAGUUAGGGGCCCCCACAACUCCGAGCUCCCCCUGGCCUAAAGCCAGACUUGAAAGAUCAAAACAUCCCUGCAUAGGGGGGUCCAUCCAGCCCCCCAUCUCCAAGCCAAACAGAACUCCAUCUCUCCAAAUCUGACUUUUUCCAGGUUCAUUCGUCAAAUCCAACAACUCAUGUUCCUGCUGGGCCACAGCUCCCUCCAUCUCUGCCACCCGAGGUCCAGCAACAACCUCCUCCCUCAUCUCAUCUGUCAAAGCACAUUCCUGGAUUAAUUCCUGAGUGGGUUCUAUAUAGGUACCCACUGCCUGUCCAAAAUUUCCGAUCGCAACAGUCAUCAAAUCCAUCUUCUCAUGUAACUGUUCCAAUAAAGCACUUGUCUUACACAAGGCAAGCACCAAAGCCUCUGAGCACAUUCUUGUUCAAGGUCGAAGUCUGGUCCCACAAUCUUUAAUCUUUACAGCUGCAAAGCUCCCCAGUUCGACUUUAAUAACAGUUCCACAAGCUCCCUCUAGGGGAAACAAUUUCUAUUUGUAUCCAUCUUUUGUUUUUUGUUUUUUUAAAAGCAGAUCUAGCAACAAAGUUUUCCUUUUUCGGAUAUUUUGUGGAUAUUUUGUUCCUUUUAAAUGCGAAAGGGAACAAUGGAAUCAAUAUGUUUCUAUUCUUUUAACUAUCUGUCAAAAACGUUUGUCCAUAGUCAAUGAACUUCUCCAAAAUGUCUGUCUUGACACCCCGCUCCCAGGUUCAAGACGGUGGAAGAAUGGCAGAUGAAGGUGAUUGACUACAUGGAACUGGCGGAAAUGACUGGCAGAAUCCGAGACCAGAGAGAAGAGACGGUGAAAGAAGACUGGAAGAAAUUUAAAGACUAUUUACAGAAAUAUUGUAAAAUUAAGGAAUCUUAGAAGGAUGUUGGAUAGAAACUAGGGGUUUUUUUUAGCUGUAAUGCUUUAAGAGAUAUGAAAAAAGGUUUGCAACUGGGUAAUUUUAAUGGUAAGGAUUUGCUGAAUCAACAAAUUGAACUGGAAUACAAAAAAGGGAGGUAUGAGGAGGUCCGGGGAAAUAAGUAUAAGGAAGAUAGGUUAUGGAAAUUUAAUGUCCUUUUAAUUGUUUUAUUUGGUAUGUUUUCUUUUAUUUUUUACUUCUUUGGUUAUAUUUUUUUAAACAAAACUUUAUUCUUUUGCUUUCUGUAUUCUGUAUUCUUUGUAUUUUUUUUGAAACUUUAAUAAAUAUCAUUCAAAAAAAAAAAAACAACCCAA
Molecule: non-coding RNA, 4259 nt
Organism: Podarcis lilfordi (Lilford's wall lizard)
Lineage: Eukaryota; Metazoa; Chordata; Lepidosauria; Squamata; Lacertidae
Source: the annotation of a GenBank genome assembly